AGGUGCGAUCAUACCAGCGUUAAUGCACCAGAUCCAAUAAGAAAUCCGCAAUUAAGCACGCUUGGGCUAGAUUAGUACUAGGAUGGGUGACCUCUCGGGAAUCCUUAGUGUUGCACCCU
Molecule: non-coding RNA, 119 nt
Organism: Picea glauca (white spruce)
Lineage: Eukaryota; Viridiplantae; Streptophyta; Pinopsida; Pinales; Pinaceae
Source: Rfam